Parus major (Great Tit) is the source of this 1700-nucleotide long non-coding RNA. RefSeq lists it as uncharacterized. NCBI's taxonomy places the organism in Eukaryota, Metazoa, Chordata, Aves, Passeriformes, Paridae. The transcript is spliced from 3 exons. The record is from RefSeq and is a predicted model, not a curated record.
AAACCACAGUAUUUUUUACUUGUACAGAUUAGCUACAAAUCUGAGCUCUCAUAUCCUUUUUGAUUUACUUAUUCAAAGAUCAUUGCUAACCAAAUAUCCAAUUUUGUUAGGGUUGAUGUGGCUUGCAGGAGACAGAGUCUUUAGAUUAAUGAAUCAAAUGAAAUGGGUGGAUGCUCAUCCAGUGACAUCCAUCGCAGAGGAAGAAAGAUUACACCAGAAGUUUAAUGAGAGUGAAACAUCUAAUACUUACAACAUCCUUCAAACAAACAUCCACAUCCAGCUGCUAGGACUAUGGUGGAUUUGAUACAGAAGAAGAAAAGAGGCAGUUCAUUUGCCAUUAGUGUUACUGGGCAAAAGACUUGGGACAUGGCAAAGGACUGUCUGCAGAGCCCUGCUUCACCCUGGGAACUUCAGGAUGGACUAAAGGCCUCACUUCCAGUCUGGCUCCUCAGCAUUGGUCAGUAUAUUAAGCAAGUCAAAAAGUAAGGAAGAUUGAUAGAAACAAGCUUCUUUGCUGAAGAGUAUUAGAAUGGAGCCAGCACUAUUCUCACUUUUGACUAUGGAGUGGGAUUGUGAAGAGAUGAUGCUGUUUAGGAAAGGGUCCAACACGUAUAAACAAUUUGUCACAAGCAAGAGACACUUUGACUGAAAGACUUGGUUGUGCUUUCACUCAGGAGGUCUAAGCCAAAGGUCUUCAGCAAUCAAAUAUAGAACUAGUGUUUAGUCUGUUAGCACAAUUUCAAGAGUCAACUGACUAAUGAAUGUCAAUAUACAAUUAUGUGGGAUGCCAACAGUCUGCAGCUCAGCUUGUGCUGUUCAACUUUAUCCUGUACUUAUAUAACAAAUGAAUGCAGAAAAUCAGCUACCUAUGACUAUUAGAGAAAUCCAUAAUGGUAGUGGCAAAUUUUAGAAUAACAAGGAAAUUUUCUGUUGGAUUUAUUUUAUUGUUGAAGUGUUUUCUUGUAGACCAGUAUUACUCAGCACAGUAAAUAUGUGUAUACAUCUUUAAUACUCUUCAAACUAUGUAAUAUUCUUGCAUUAAAAAUAGCCCUAUUACUUCAUGGCAAGCCUUGAAGAACCUGCAUAUCACAAUUGCUGUGAGGGAAAUCCCUGCUGUAGUAUUUUGUGUUCAACACAUCUGGCUCAUGUUUUUCUGGCAUCGUGAAAAGAUAACAUAAGGGGGCUGAAAAUGCACGUGGCAGUGAAAAUGCAUUAAGAUGGACAUUUACAUAAUUAUUUCAAGAGUAUUCUCAGAAGAAAAACUGCAGGAAGGAAAGCAGGUCAAAUGUUUAAAAUAUUGGAAGGGUAAAAAGGUCAGAACAGUUCUGUGCAGGUGGACUGUAAUCCAGCAAAACAUUUAAAACACAUGCUAGGGAGGAAGCCUCUUGCUGCUGAAAGCUUCAAAGAGCAGCUCCAAAGCACAUCACCUCACUCCCAGACAGCUUUUUGCCAUAAAAUAAUUAUGGAAAUAUCUCAGGGGAAAAAAUCUUUCCUGUAUUUUUUCUGCUUUUCCUUUCUCCUGGAUUUUCUCAUAAAAUGAUAUUAUGAUGUACCAACAUAAAUGAUUUAGGAGGAAGUGGGAGUUUUUUCUGAAAAUACAUCUCUAAAAAACCCAAGUUUAUCCAUCAAAACCUGCUUAUUGUCUUAGUUAAUUUGUUUUUUUUUAAUGUUUGUUCCUUACUAAUUCUUCAAUUAGGUAG